Molecule: transfer RNA, 73 nt
Filed under: Schistocerca americana (American grasshopper)
Lineage: Eukaryota; Metazoa; Arthropoda; Insecta; Orthoptera; Acrididae
Description: tRNA-Leu
Rfam family: tRNA
About the family: Transfer RNA (tRNA) molecules are approximately 80 nucleotides in length.
Source: RNAcentral
GCCGAAAUAGCUCAGUUGGGAGAGCGUUAAACUUAAGAUCUAAAGGUUCCUGGUUCGAUCCCGGGUUUCGGCA